RNAcentral lists this ribosomal RNA (459 nucleotides) under uncultured bacterium. RNAcentral's name for it is "partial 16S ribosomal RNA". It matches the Rfam family "Bacterial small subunit ribosomal RNA", at positions 338 to 795 of the family's 1533-position model. The record is from RNAcentral.
CCUACGGGUGGCAGCAGUGAGGAAUAUUGGUCAAUGGCCGAGAGGCUGAACCAGCCAAGUCGCGUGAGGGAAGACGGCCCUACGGGUUGUAAACCUCUUUUGUCGGGGAGCAAAGCGAACCACGUGUGGUUCAUGGAGAGUACCCGAAGAAAAAGCAUCGGCUAACUCCGUGCCAGCAGACGCGGUAAACCGGAGGAUGCGAGCGUUAUCCGGAUUUAUUGGGUUUAAAGGGUGCGCAGGCGGAGGUGCCAGUCUGAGGUCAAAUUGCGGGGCUCAACCCCGUACUGCCGUUGAAACUGCAUCCCUUGAGUGCGCGAGAAGUAUGCGGAAUGCGUGGUGUAGCGGUGAAAUGCAUAGAUAUCACGCAGAACUCCGAUUGCGAAGGCAGCAUACCGGCGCGCAACUGACGCUCAUGCACGAAAGCGUGGGUAUCGAACAGGAUUAGAUACCCUUGUAGUC